Molecule: long non-coding RNA, 883 nt
Organism: Lutra lutra (Eurasian river otter)
Lineage: Eukaryota; Metazoa; Chordata; Mammalia; Carnivora; Mustelidae
Exons: 3
Source: RefSeq, a predicted model, not a curated record
AUAAAUUCUGGAAGCAGACAGCCUGAGAAUAAAUCCCAGUUCCCCAUUUACUAGGGGAGCAAGUUACUUGACAUUUUACACAUGCCUCAAUUUCCUCACCUUAGAAAGGGUGUAGUCCAUUUCACUGGGUCAUUAGGAAGAUUAAAGAGUCAACACGUGUAACAUACUUGGAACAAUGCCUGGCGCAUAGUAACUGCUCAGUAAGGGUCAGCUAUUAUUAUGGCCAGACUCGCCAUGUGAGAAAUUUUGAAAAACGGGCACCAAGCAGCUAUAGAAAUUUUCUCUCCGGAACUGCCUACUCAGAGCAGCCCGGGAUGGGCAGCAGCCUUCCUCAGCUCUAUAACAGCCAUCUUCUAGGCCUGCAGUAAAACACACAUUUAAGUCACCAAAAGAGAAAAACUAGAGACCAAACGAGGAUGUUUCAGUGCAUUCAAGCUUCUCAAGAUUUUAUGCCAGCCAUUCAUUUCCAGAUUUUCUGACCCAGGAGCACCAAAAAACAAAACAAAACGGAAGCUUUUUGUGUAUGUGAUGGAUAAGGAGGGUGUUAAAGGAGACUGAACCACUAGGUGGCAGCAGAUGAGCAGACGAACCAAAAACAACCAAUUGCCUCUCCUUUUAGGAGCCGUUGCACCAAUCCCCACCUACAGGGUUCAACAGUAGAGCCCGCUACCCAGGGAUGGGCUAAUCCAGACGCUCAGGCCCCGCCAUGUGAGAGGAGAGAACCACACGCAGGGAGGACGAGGCCUCUUCUGAGAGCCUGAAACGCUGUGACAGUACUUCCUCUAUCAAGCGGACACCUCACUGGCCCAGGUAACAGUAAUCCUAGCUCCCAGUGCCUCAAAAAAAAAGAGAGCUCUCAUUACCUCUUUGGCUGGUCUCCUUU